This is a microRNA precursor of Pan troglodytes (chimpanzee), 90 nucleotides long. It matches the Rfam family "mir-663 microRNA precursor family". Lineage: Eukaryota; Metazoa; Chordata; Mammalia; Primates; Hominidae. The record is from Rfam.
CCGUCCCGCGUCCUAGGCGGGGCGCCAUGGGACCUCCCUCGUGUCUGUGGCGGUGGGAUCCCGUGGCCGUGUUUUCCUGGUGGCCCGGCC